This is a long non-coding RNA of Melanotaenia boesemani (Boeseman's rainbowfish), 124 nucleotides long. RefSeq lists it as uncharacterized. NCBI's taxonomy places the organism in Eukaryota, Metazoa, Chordata, Actinopteri, Atheriniformes, Melanotaeniidae. The transcript is spliced from 3 exons. The record is from RefSeq and is a predicted model, not a curated record.
UCCAGGUGAAGUUGAGUUAAGUUAAGUUCCUCUGUAAAGGUUCAUGUACCAGGACUGGACUGGAAAUGAGGGAAAAAGCAGAAAAUGUCCAAAGAAAAACUUUGAAAGACCUUCAGAAAGAUGG